This is a non-coding RNA of Drosophila virilis, 2635 nucleotides long. The record is from RefSeq and is a predicted model, not a curated record. Lineage: Eukaryota; Metazoa; Arthropoda; Insecta; Diptera; Drosophilidae.
AAUUCGAUCUGCUAAUGUGCUGCGCGUUGUAGUCGAUUAAAGCAUUUUACAUAUUGAAUAUAAAUAUAAGACCUUUAAACUAAUUGGCCUUAAAAUAUUUCAAUUUUAAUGGUGGAAAAUUCAAAUUCAUCUUGGAAAACUCAAAUUGAAUAUAUUGCGUAUUUCGCAUAUCACGUUGACUACUGGGGUCAAAUUAACAUAGAAUUGCGUUACGCGGGCACAAAGUGGACAGAAAAAAUCAGCGCGCAGAAAGCAAUAAUAGUUCAUGCACAUGGGUAUAUUUAUGUAUGUAUGUAUUGGUCUGCAUAAACUGGCUUGUUACUGUGUGUCUGCUUAAACGUUAUCUUCAAAUUGAUCGCACUCCAUCAAAAUUUGUUGUUGCUCGUCGCUCCUAACAAGAAUUUACUUGAUCUCUUUUAUGUGUGUCGUUUCUUCGUCCGUUAUUUACAUGCAUGCAUGUAUGUAUGUAUGUGCGCAUAUGUAGAUAAUGCACAAGCACGCGCUUACACACGCUUACACACAUAUGUACAUACAUAUGCUCGCCCAAAUUGGACAGUCUUCUCUCACUCUGUGUUAGUUUUAUUCCAGAAGUCAAUUUGAUGCGCUGUUUUGUUGAGAAUUAAAGUCGUUUGAAGCUAUUGCAAAAUAUAAUUGGAAUGUCUCGGUCAAAUACCGUCCAAUUGGCGAUUUGUUUACCUUCUCGGACGCCUGGGGAACAGCAUUGCUCGGUUCUCUUUCGUAUCGCGUGGGCUUGGACAGCGAUUGAAUACUUAACCGAUCCCAUUGCUUAUUUUUCAUAUUGCAACACAUAAAUAUGCUCGAUAAAGACAAGGCGAGCCGGGAUCAACUCCUUUGUGCUAGUCUGCCAGAGAGGUCGGUGCAAUUAUGUGGUCGGAAUUAAAAAGGGGUUUCUGCUCUAUCUCGCCCGUCUGCCGCUGCCAUUAGGAUGAGGACAUGGCUUGUGGAUAUCUUUUGCCGACAACUCUGCACCUGCUGCUGCCGUUGCCACGCCCUACAGAUUUCUGGUAUUCACAGCUCCAAAUUGAGGGAUUCAAGGAUUCAUCGAUUUUAAGGACUUUCACAAGGCUUUUCUGCAAGAUUCAGGAAAAUCUGCAGCUUUCAAUGACAAAAUCAAAUCAAUAUUGUUGGUACCUAGUUGACCCACAUAUCCUUGGUUAUUCCAUACAAUGGAUAUAGUGAACCUAGAGGGCGAAUAUGGUCCAAAAAUAUGUAUGCUUUUUCAGCCGUCCCAUUUAAUUUCCCGCCCCUUGCUGGUUCCUAGUUGACUGAAAUAUCCUUGGUUCUACCAUACCAUCGAUAUAGUCCUUGGCAACCUACAACAAAUCCCUGCAAAAUUUGCAUUGAAAUUAACCAAAAGCAUUUAUUUUCCUUUUAGCAGCGCCUGUAAAUAACCAGCAGCUGCAGCUGCUAACUAACAGCCGAUCUUACAGCACUCAUUUUACAUUAACUGCUAUUUAACAUAACUCAUUUUACAUUUUUGCCCACACGGGUAUGCAACAAAAAUUUUUAUUCAAAAAAUUUCGUCGACCUUCUGAGCAUUUCUGUUCGCCUGGUACUUCAGCGGAAUUUCAGUACAAAUUGGGGACCCAGCCGCCGACGAGCGAGCCCCUUUCGGGUAUGCAACAGAAAAUUUUCGGACGCUGAAAAAUUUUGUCUACCUUCUAUAUAUUUCUGUUUGCCUGGUAUUUCAGCAGAAUUUCAGAAAAACCUCGGCAUCCGGCAACAGAUUUUUAACGACAGUUGAUUUUUGAAUUUUUUGCAAUCCCAUAUCUCUUAGAAGUAAAACCAUGAAUUUGUUUAAUAAACGUUUUAUUUAUUUACGUUUAAAUAAACUAAGUUAUUGUUUUUCACAUAUAUUUUCGAUUUUAACUUAAAAUGUCCAUAUUUGGCUUAAAACAUAUCCGAUCCUGGAAGGAAUAGCCUCGUUAGAUUCGUAAAAGUCCUUAGAAUCGAUUAGAGUCCUUAAAUCCUUCAAUCUGAAAAGAUAAAAACACAUUUGAAACAAAAAUGUCAAAAGAGAUAUAUAAGGGUAUUUUGAGAAAAGAAAUGGCCAUAACUCCGGCAUAUCCUUGCAGAUCCUUGCAGGACAUGGUGCGUUAGGAUCGUGGGGACCAACUGCAUCGAACUGCAUCAAAACAUUAUGGGGUCAUCUAAGAAUCCUGGACUUGGUAAUUUUUUAGUCGCGGGCCGCAAGCAAAAUUGGUUAAAAUCAUCAAAUUACAGUAAAAUCGCGAUAUCUCUGAAACUAUAAGGACGAUCUUAAUGUAAUUUGGCCAGAUUGUAGUCCUGGUCAAUACAAUUUUUUUGACACAGGACUCGUCAGGAUACGCCAGGAUAUGGCCGAGUUAUAAGCUAUUUUCGGUUGACUAUUUUGUCCUUAAAACUUUUUUGUCCGAAGGACUUUCGUCCUUUGGAUUGUAUAUUCGUAAAUGGGAUGAUGAGGACUAUCUACUGUCCAAAGGACAUCGCGAUAGUCCUUCAAAUGGCAAAGUUAGUCUCGAAUUUUUCGAUUUUUGGUAAUUUUCUGACUAAACCCCUGUGAAAAUUUUUCGUGAAAUUUUUUGUCGAAUUCUGGAAAUCCUUGAAUGCUAAUCGAUAGUCCUGCUCCCCACGA